Molecule: long non-coding RNA, 8925 nt
Filed under: Homo sapiens (human)
Lineage: Eukaryota; Metazoa; Chordata; Mammalia; Primates; Hominidae
Description: HSALNT0271292
Source: RNAcentral
CUCAGAGCCGGAAAGCAAACAGCUGCUGUAGCCUGAUUUGAGUUAAAAUAGUGUGAGUGUUUAGUCUGGCGCACGGCUUCAGGGGAGAUUGGCAGCUGGGUCAAACAAAGUCCUUCCAUUGGCUCCCUUCCCAGGCAGCUUCUGCUAGUGUUUAGGUACUAGUGCAGUGUAGAACCCUUUUCUCAGGCAAAACCUAACAUCUGACCGCACCCUUUUUGCUAUUAAAAAAAAAAAAAAGCUUCUAUUUUUUUCCUCCUGUCGUUAAGAUAAAUUCUCCAGUAGACAACCUCUCCCACUAAUUGUGUAUUAGCAACGUAUUUUAUCUUGAGAGCUUGUACACUGGGCUCUCAACGUGGUGUGGAAGGUAGCCUGUUACAGUGCUGGAUUCAUAAAAGGGCCUUUAUGGUUUGUGAAAGAAUAUCUGUGUGCUUAGGGAGGAAACUUUUUGAUCUGCAGAAAAGCCAGAAGACAUCUAGGACAUCCAUAAAAAUUCAUCAGAGAGCAUUUUACUACUGAGCUGCAAAGGGAAAAACUUAAAAUGGAUAUGAAAAGUGAAGAAAGUGAUCAUAGGAGAAAACCAUUUCAGGUGUCUGAUGAUUUGUGAGCCUCAAGUGACUACUCUGUGGAAUCAUCUGUCCUUGCCUUUGAAUUAGCUUUCCCUAGGCCAUGAGUCAACAUUAGUAGUUUAUACAUCCAAAUUGAUGACAAGAGCACCUCAAAGGCAGCAGCCUCAAGGAGCAGCCAUGGCCCCAGACUUGUCGCACGGAUGCAGAAAACUUAAUGGAGGAGGCUGAGCAAAACAGAGCGUGACACUCCCAAUCAUCUGCAUGCUGGAAAUGAGGAAAUGGUUAUUGAAUGAUACAAGUGCUUUUCGAUCAUUUAGAAAGUUCUGUUUCCCAAGAUCUUUUUUUUUUUUUUUUUUUUUGAGACGGUGUCUUGCUCUGUCACCCAGGCUGGAGUGCAGUGGCGCGAUCUCGGCUCACCACAACCUCCACCUCCUGGGUUCAAGCGAUUCUCCUGCCUCAGCCUCCCGCGUGGCUGAGACUACAGGCAUGUGCCACCAUGCCCGGCUAAUUUUUGUAUUUUUAGUAGAGACAGGGUUUCACUAUGUUGGCCAGGCUGGUCUCAAACUCCUGACCUCGUGAUCCGCCCGCCUUGGACUCCCAAAGUGCUGGGAUUACAGUUGUGAGCCACUGUGCCCGGCCUAGCAAGAUCACUUUUUAAGUAUCCAGAAAGCUCUUUCUUAUGUUGAAUUAUGUCCAGAGGCAUAACUAGACUGAAGGUUUAGACUCCAUUCAUUCUCCUAUGUUUUUGUUCUUAACUGCAUUCUGCAGUCAAAUCAGGAGCUUUAGAAAAUACUGAUGCCUGGCUCUCAACCAGAGAGAACUGAACUGAAUUGGUCUGGUGAAUUCAUUAAAAGAGCUAACAACAAUGAAGUUAAUGUACGCAUCUCACCUCUCAAGAGUAUUAACAGGCCAGGCGUGUUGGCUCAUACCUGUAAUCCCAGCACUUUGGGAGGCCAAGGCGGGCGGAUCACCCAAGGUAAGUUCAAGACCAGCCUGACCAACAUGGUGAAACCCCGUCUCUAUUAAAAAUACAAAAUUAGCCAGGCAUGGUGGUGCAUCCCUGUAAUCCCAGCUACUCGGCACCUGAGGCACAAGAAUUGCUUGAACCCGGGAGGCAGAGGUUGCGGUGAGCUGAGAUCCUGCCAUUGUACUCCAGCGUGGGCAACAAGAAUGAAACUCUGUCUCAAAAAAAUAAAUAAAUAAAAAUAAGUAUUAACACAUGGGAAAUCAUAAAGUUUUCAUUCUGAGCAGUGUGUCUUUGAAUGUUUUGACCACGCAGAGAUGGGAUUAUCAUGGUAAAAUCCACUCUAUGGAUUUACCAUAAUCUUGGUGGUAACGUGUUAACAGAAGCAAUAUUUAUUAUGAGAGUUAAAGUUUCAUUUGGUUUAGGUUCAUAUUUUCUUUCUCCUGUCAGUCUGCAAUGGCUCCCUAACAUAAUUCCAGAGAGCAUAUGAUGUGCUAGGCUCUGUGUAGGGGACAGGAGCACAGUGGUAAACCAACGUAAAGAAAUUACAUUUUUAAAACUUUUUACAUUUUUAGGAAAUACAUGUUAGCUAAAAAACUGUGUUUUGCUCCCUGCUACGUUUGCUUAUCCUAUCCUUCAUUACUCCUUGGAUUUUAGUCUAACUGGUCUUGGGACAUGCCUCUUCCCCACAAACACCCCCACCACCAUACCACAUUGCUGUGACACAUUUAGCUUGUUAAUGUGGUAAGAGUGGAGCUCACUUACAGAAUUUUUGCAGACUAGACCUUAGGCUACAGGUCUUUACCAUGGAGCAGAAAAGUGGUAUCUCAAACCUCAUCCACAAAGGUUGAUCUAGUCCAAGCCCCUCUCCAGGUUCAUGUCCAUGUACAGCUUUGUUCUUAUUGUAACAACCUACAUUUUAGAAUAGGCAACGAAGACCAUUACCAAGAGCAGUAGGAGGGGCAACCUUCGGCUGUUUGUUUUUCAGGAUCUCAACUUGUGAACUUACUCUUCUCUUCACAGAAUGGGAUAACUGCCUGGCACUCACCAAGCUACACUUGAAGAGGAUCAAUCCAUGUCAUCAUGUCCCCAAUUUCAUAGCACCAAGUAUUUUGUUUAUUCACAAAUGCCCUAUUAUGGACAUCUAGCAAACAAUGAUACAUCAGAAAAGGAGAUGUGCAUAAAUUUUCAUGGAAUAAGGUUGUGGAAAAUGCACUAGAAUCAACAAACAUGGGGACUAAUUCAACUCGGAUAUCAUGUCUUCAGAGAAGUUUCUCCUGCCCUCCUCUCCCUGUAGAAUUAAGUAUUCUUCCACUGUGCCACCCUCUAACUUGUGCUCAUAUCUUCCUCUAUUGUAGUUAUGUGUUCACAUCCCUGUUGUUUUUGUACCGGCUUCUCCCAAAGGGAGACAUUUAGUCUUAUUCUUCUUGGUAACUUUAGCACAGACCUGGCAGAUUGUUGACACUCAACAAAUGUUUAUUGACUCAAAUGCAUUCAGUUGAACAUUGACCUUUGAUCAACUCUGGGAAAAGUCUGCAAAGCUAGUUAGGACAUUCAGAAAUUCAUUUCAUUUCAAUCCUAACUAAAUAAAUUAUUGAAGUCUCAGAACUUCUCAGUACUUGAUUUAGACACAUAGAAACUUGGGUAAAUAACACCUAUAUUGUUAUAUUCCUCAAGAAAAAGUUUAUCUUUUCAUGAAAUGAAUCUACUGAGGAUAUUUAUAGAAACUGAAUGUAAGUGAGCAGAAUAAAGUGGUGUGUGUGUGUGUGUGUGUGUGUGUGUAUGUAAUUUGAAGAGUAGGUGGGAGAAGGUUGUGAUAGGAUAGCAGAUCUUGUUUAUGAUAGUCACCAGCUAUAACAGACACUGCCUGAUGCCUUUCCAAUAUCCACUUCCCUUUUCUUUUUUUUCUUUUUGGAACAGAGUCUCACUCUGUCCCCCAGGCUGGAGUGCAACAGCACGAUCUCGGCUUACUGCAUCCUCUGCCUCCUGGGUUCAAGCAAUUCUCAUGCCUCAGCCUCCCUAGUAGCUGGGAUUACAGGCUCUCGCCACCACGCCCAGCUAAUUUUUGUGUUUUUAGUAGAGACGGGGUUUCGCCAUGUUGGCCAGGCUAGUCUUGAACUCCUGACCUCAGGUGAUCCACCUGCCUCAGCCUCUCUAAGUGCUGGGAUUACAGGCGUGAGCCACCGUGCCUGGCUCUCUUUUCUUACUUAAUGUCUGUGUCAAUUAAAUAGAAAUGUAUCAAGUUAAAAACCUUGCCUCGGUAGCUUCCAGUGCAAAUAAAGGUACCCAUGCCACCCCAUUCUGGCCAGCAGUAAAAUUGAUGGAAGCCUCUGGUUGGGGCUUCAAGGAAAGCUUUAUCAAAAGAUAAACUCACUGGCUUUGUCCCUUAGUUCAGUGGUCCCCAACCUUUUUGGCACCAAGAGACCAGUUUUGUGGAAGACAAUUUUUUCCAUGGACCAGGAGGGUUCCGGGGGAUGGUUUUGGGAUGAAAAUGUUUCACCUUAGAUAUCAUCGGGCAUUCAAUUCUCAUAAGGAGCCUGCAACCUAGACCUCUCACAUGUGCAGUUCACAAUAGGGUUCAUGCUCCUAUGAGAAUCUAAUGCCACUGCUGAUCUGACAGGAGGCAGAGCUCAGGCAGUAAUGCUCACUAGUUCCGUUGCUCGCCUCCUGCUGUGCAGCCCAGUUCCUAACAGGACACAGACCAGUACUGGUUCGCAACCCAGGGUUUGGGGGCCCCUGUCUUAGUUCCUUUGCCUUCCUUCCAGAUGGAUGCCUGGAGGAACAAUCAUCCCGCAAUUGUGAAAAUUGAAGCCAUAUUUUAAAGUUGGUUUCAAUUGUAAUACAGAAGAAAUCUGGACCUUGAUGACAUUUGAGCUAGAGUACUAAUCUUGAUCUUCCUAUUCAUGAGCUUGUUGCAAGAGACAAGACUUUUACUGAUUUAACUCAUUGUUGGGAUUUCUUGGAACUAAACACAGUCAUAAUACAUUUUUUCCUUCCCAGGAAAAUGGUAGAGCAUGACUUUUCAAAUCUAAUAAAACUCAUGUGUAGCUAAAACCACUCUACUGAAACAAUUCCAUCUCAGCCCAUGGUACAAGGGAUUUUCCUGAAUGAAAAAUGGUGUCUGAUCAUUUUGUUGGUUUCUUUGUUGGUUUUUCCUGAAACUUAGGGUUAAAGAAUCCAGGAAAGUUGUCUUAGAUAGAGUUAUAAUUUCCGUGGACAUCAACUGAUAAAUGCAAUUACAGUUUGUAUGCCUAGGUUUGGCAAAAAUCAUAUAAGCAACAUCCCUCACAUAAUAUUGUUUUAAUUAAAUUUUAUUUCUUUCUUGGUAUGAAACAUACUGCAGAAGCACAAUCAAUGAACAUUGGAUAGUUUCCUUAAAUCUUGCUCUUUGUCCUAUUUAUAUAAUUUAUUGUGUCAGUGGUUCUCAAGUGGUAUGCUCCUGCAACUCAUCAUCUGAAAAUCCUUCCCAGAUGUGCUGAAAAAUUUUCAUUAAUUUGUAUAUUCUAUUUUAUUUUUAUAACUAAGUACACAUGCUUGUGACUGGAAGAGAAGACACCCCUCAUUUAAUCCCAGAGGAAUAUUUGGCCUUGAUUCAUGCCCUGCUCACUCCACCCCAUUAUUAAGAUAGAGAUCGCUGAAGAAAUCCCUGCUCUAUAAAUGUAGCUGAUCCAAAAACAAAAUGGAAAUUCAUUAUUUUAAAUAUUUCUACAAGAUCUUUGUACAACUCUAUUUUUUUUUCCUAUUAAGAAUUACAUGAUUCUAGAAUAAGUUCCAACCCUAAGUAUCAACACUGGAACACAAUUUUAAAACAGGAGGCGAUUAUCUCUAUAGUGAGAUUUAACUACAGAGGUGAUAGCUCUGGUUAGUGAAUUUCAGGACUAGAAAUCAGGCCUGCUGUCUCUUAGCUUAGAGGAGGUAUAAUAAGAAGAGGAUUAGAACUACUGUGUAUAUUAACAAGAAGAACUCUAUUAUGUUCAGCUAUCAUUAUAUAUGAUAUUAUGUUUCUUUUUAUGAACUAUAGUUCACUGUCUUUAAGCAUAAUGUUUGCCCAAGGUGGGGGUGUUGGUGUGUGUCUGUGUGUAUAUGCAUGUGUGCACAUGUGUGUAUGUAUAGUUGAUUCAUUCAUUCUGACCUACUGAAUUUACUGAAGGAAUAAGAAGAAAUACCUUGAACUGAGGGACCUGGCUUAGCUCAACAUCUGUACCAUCUACCUUUGAGUAUCCAUUCCUUUACUAUGAAGCAUGGAUGCUAAAACUAAAAUUGCAUUUGCUAAACUACUUUGUAGCUAGAUUCCUGGGUGAGAUUAGAUUUGGUCAAUUAGAUGUUCUUGUGUAACAUUUAGAAGGUGAUAGUAAGGCAAAGGUCAUGUGACUGGCUGAUUUUAUUUAUGUUCAAUGAUCUUUAUUGGGGUACACUUUAUAUAUAAUAAUAAAUAAUGCACACAUUUUAAGUGUACAAUUUGAUGAGUUCUGACAAAUUUAUAUGCAUGUAUAACCAGCAUCAAUAUCAAGAUAUAUAAUGAUCCCCUCAUUCCAGAAUAGUCUCUUGUGUUCUUUCCAGCCAAUGCCCCACCCCUGGAUUCUGGCAACAAUUGAUCUGCUUUUUAUUACCAUGGAUUAUAUUUGUCUUUCCUAGAGAUACAAAUAAAUGAAAUAAUGUAGUGUGUCCUCUUUAACUUUGGCUUAUUUCUCUCGGCACACUAUUUCUGAAAUUUGUCCAUACUGUUGAUAUGGCAGACAGAAUUUUAAGAUGGUUCCUAAAAUUCUUGCCUCCUGGUAUGUAUAAUUUUCUCUCGGUUUUCCGCUGAACACUAACCUAGGUGCUAUUGUAAAGGGAUUUCUCAAGUGUAAUUAAAGUCCCUAAUAAGUUUAUUUUAAGUUAGAAAAAUUUUCCCAGGUGAGCUUGAGCUAAGUGAGUGACCUAAGCAGGUGAGUUGUUAGAAAAAAAUUAAGAGAUAUUUGAAGCGUAGACAAAAUUCUGUUGGCUUUUAAAAGAAAACUUCCAUGUGAUAGAGAAAGCCAGAUGAUAGGGAACACAAGGUUACCUCUAAAUUGACAACCAGCAAAAAAGCUGAGACUUCAGUCUUAUCAUCAUAAGGAAUUGAAUUCUGUCAACAGCCACGUGACCUUAGAGGAGGCCCCUGAGCCGCAGAUGAGAUCAUGGCCCUGGCCAAUACCUUAAAUUCAUCCUGGUGAGAUAUGAGCAGAGAACUCAGCUAUGCCAUGCUCAGAUUUCUCACCUGUAGAGCAGUAAAUUAAUAAGUGAGCAUUAUUUGAAGCUGCUAAGUUUGUGGUGAUUUGUUACACAUCAAGAGAAAACAUAUGCUGUAUAUAUUAUUAGAUUUUUCCUUUAUAUUGGUGGGUGUAUUUGUUAUCUAUUACUUCCUAACAAAUCGACAAUAAUUAAGUGUCUUAAGACAACACAUAUUUAUUACCUCAUAGUUUCUGUGGGUCAGAAAUCUGGGCAUGGUUUAUGUGAGUUCUUUGAUUUAAAGUUGUUGGCAAAUCUGUAAACAAGGAAGCAGUCAGGACCGAGGUCUCAUCUGAAAGUCAACUUGGGAUGGGUCUGCUUCCAGCCUCACUUAACAUAACAGCUGGCAGGAUUCAGUUGCUCUUGGGUAGUUGGAUUGAUGGCCUCAGAUAACUAGGUAGCUAUUAGCUAGAUUUCACCCUCAGUUUGUUGCCGUGUGGGCCUCCCUAAGGUGGCAAUUUACUUCAUCAAAACCAGCAAGGGAGAGAGUUGGCUACAAUCUCUAGUAAUGUAGCUACAGAAAUGACAUCCCCUUAGCAAUGAGAUAUUUUAUUAAUUAGAAAGAAAUUACUCAACAGGAGGGGAUUACACAAUGUAGUGAAUACCAGGAGGCUGAGAUCAGAAGGAGCUAGUGUAGAAGCUGCCUACCACAGUGAGUAGUAUUCUAUUACAUGAAUAUACCAGAAUGUCUGAAUCCACCCAACUGGGCAUAGACGUUUGUGUUCAUUCAAGAUACAGACUAUUAUUAUUUUAAAAAUAAAAGUUACUAUGAACAUUUAAGUAUAAGCUUUUGUGUGGGCGUGUUUCAUUUGUUUUGAAUGAAAUUGCAGGGUCGCAUAGAAAAUGCAUAUUUAAUCUUAUAAGAAGCUGCUUAAAAUGCUUUGCAAUGUGAUUUUACCAUUUUACACUCCCAACAAUGUAUAGCAAUAUAUCAUAGAUCUAGUGGUUUCAUAUCUCCACAAACACUUGAUAUUGUCACUCAGUUUAAUUGUAGCUACUUAAAUAGGCUUAUAAUGGUACUCGUUAUGAUUUUAAUAUGCAUUUCCCUAAUGCCUAUUAGGGACUAAUUAUGUUAAGCAUCUUUUCAUGUAUUUGGAGGCCAUUUGUGUACCUUCAUUUGUAAAAUAUCUGUUUAAGUAGCUUGCCCAUUUGGAUUGCUUUACAUUUUAUUAUAGAGUCAUAAGCAUCCUUUAUAUAUUCUGAAUAUAACUCUUUUAUCAGACAUACAUAUAUAUCAAAUAUUUUUUUCUAAGUUUGUGGUUUGUGUUUUUACUUUUUAUACUGUUUAUUGAAUAGUAGAUUUUAUAUUCAUUUUAUCCAUUCUGUUAUGAUCGAUAUUUUUUGAACUAUGAAAAUAUUGCUAUGUAAAAAUAAAAAAUAUAUUUUCAUCCCGAGUUUCAUAAUUUUAGCUUUCACUCUUAUAUCUGUGAUUCAUUCUGAGUUUUCUUGUAUAGUUUAAAGUCAGAGUGGGUGUUUGUUUGCUUAUUAAUAUAUUUAUAGAUAUUUCUAAUUCUUUCUAGCACCAUUUAUUAAAAAGUCUCUUUUUUUACCCAUUGAAUUAUUUUUUUUAAAUUGUUAUGUCUAAAAUCAAAUUACCAAAUACACAUUGUCUAUUUUGAACUAUUUAUUCUGUUUCAUUGAUUUUUAUGUGUUCCUUUACACCAAUAUCAUUGUCUUAAUUACUGUAGAUUUGUUGGAAAUAUGGGAGUCAAAUUUAAGGAUUUCAAUUUUGUCCUUUUAUCAAGUUGUUUUGGCUGUUCUAGGUCCUUUGCAUUUCCCUAUAACAUUUGGAAUUAGGUUGUCAAUAUUUCCCCAGAAUAAAGCCUGCUGGGAUUUUGAACAGGAUUGCAUGGAAUCUAUAAAUCAAUUUAGUGAGAAUUAAUAACAUAUUAAGUACUCUAAUUGAUGAACAUAGUAUCAUCUUCCAUUUAUUUAGUCUUUGACUUCUCGGAAAUGUUUUAUAGUUUUCAGUGUGUAGGUCUUGAAGUUUGUAAAAUUCUAAGUGUUUUAUGGUUUUGACUGUAAUUGUAAAUACCUCCCAUUGUUCAUUGUUAGUACAUAGAAAUAAAAUAAAUUUUGUAUUAAUUUGUCUCAUGCAAUCUUCUAUACUCACUUCUUUCCAAUAGUUUUAUGUGGAAUUCUUAG